This 275-nucleotide ribosomal RNA is filed under the name uncultured bacterium. RNAcentral describes it as "partial 16S ribosomal RNA". It matches the Rfam family "Bacterial small subunit ribosomal RNA", at positions 338 to 627 of the family's 1533-position model. The record is from RNAcentral.
CCUACGGGGGGCUGCAGUGGGGAAUUUUCCGCAAUGGGCGAAAGCCUGACGGAGCGACGCCGCGUGGAGGAAGAAGUUUUUCGGAAUGUAAACUCCUGUCAUCAGGGACGAAUAAAAUGACGGUACCUGAGGAGGAAGCAUCGGCUAACUACGUGCCAGCAGCCGCGGUAAUACGUAGGAUGCAAGCGUUGUUCGGAAUUACUGGGCGUAAAGCGUACGUAGGCGGUGACAUAAGUUUAAUAUUAAAGACCGAAGCUCAACUUCGGGAAUGUAUU